GGGGAAUAUUGCACAAUGGGCGAAAGCCUGAUGCAGCAACGCCGCGUGAGUGAUGAAGGUCUUCGGAUUGUAAAGCUCUGUCUUUGGGACGAUAAUGACGGUACCAAAGGAGGAAGCCACGGCUAACUACGUGCCAGCAGCCGCGGUAAUACGUAGGUGGCGAGCGUUGUCCGGAUUUACUGGGCGUAAAGGGUGCGUAGGCGGAUGUUCAAGUGAGAUGUGAAAUACCCGGGCUUAACUUGGGUGCUGCAUUUCAAACUGGAUAUCUAGAGUGCAGGAGAGGAGAAUGGAAUUCCUAGUGUAGCGGUGAAAUGCGUAGAGAUUAGGAAGAACACCAGUGGCGAAGGCGAUUCUCUGGACUGUAACUGACGCUGAGGCACGAAAGCGUGGGUAG
Molecule: ribosomal RNA, 394 nt
Filed under: uncultured bacterium
Lineage: Bacteria
Description: partial 16S ribosomal RNA
Rfam family: Bacterial small subunit ribosomal RNA
Source: RNAcentral